This 9971-nucleotide long non-coding RNA is filed under the name Triticum aestivum (bread wheat). RNAcentral's name for it is "long non-coding RNA (TAES_LNC025692)". Lineage: Eukaryota; Viridiplantae; Streptophyta; Magnoliopsida; Poales; Poaceae. The record is from RNAcentral.
CUACGAGAUUGAUCAUAGUGCAACGUCUAGGCAAGGAACAGAUGUUGCAAGAGUUGCCCUGCUAAAUCAGAUCAAUAGGAUAGAACUGCCUUGUGCAGAAUAAUUUGGUCUAGUGGUGUAGAAUAUGGCCUCUGUGUUUUAUUUCCAGUUUUAACAUGUGCCUGUUUAGACUUGGUGUGCUACUGCUAGCUGAACCUUUGAUGUUCUGUUGAACAAAUACUACCUCCGUAAACUAAUAUAAGAGCGUUUAGAAUACUAAAGUAGUAAUCUAAACACUCUUAUAUUAGUUUACAGAGGGAGUAGUAAUGAGGUGCUGAGUAGUCGUUUGUAUUAUUAUGAGAAUCCCCAUUAUCUACAGGACUUCGCUUGGGCAACCGGCCUCUCUAUCAACUUCACCAAAACAACGUUAGUGCCUAUGCAUGUCGCACCUAUACUGUCGGCAUCCAUUGCAUCUACCAUGCAAUGCACAACCUCCUCCUUCCCACAGAUCUAUUUAGGCCUACCCUUAGCACCCACUCGCCUGCCUUCAAACGCCUUCCUACCCAUCAUCGAACGAUGUCAAAAAUUCUUAACAGGUUGGCGGGCAAAGCUCCUCUCCAAAGGAGACAGGCUGAUAUUACUAUCUGCAGUCCUAGAUUCAAUCUUGGUCUAUUUUAUGUCUGUCUUCCUCAUUCCCAAAAGCGUUCUUAAAACCCUCGAUUCCAUUAGACAUGCUUUCUUCUGAGCUGCAGAAGAAACUUGUACUGGUGCUCAAUGUUUAGUUGCCUGGAAAAAUGUCUGUAAACCAAAAAUGUGUGGUGGUCUAGGCCUAAAAAACCUGCAUAAACAGAACAAAUGCUUGCUCAUGAAAUUCGCUGUCAAAGCUCUUAAUCCAGAACAAUCUCCAUGGCUUGACUGGAUCACUUUGCAACACCCAAAUGCCCUCCUCACCCCACAAAACAGUCACUCAUUUAUCUGCCAAACAAUAAACCAGCAACUACCAGCCCUCCAUGCCAUCUCCUUUGUACUCACAAACUCUGGCACCAACACAUAUUUCUGGUUAGACAAAUGGAUCCACCAAACACCCCUCGCCACUUUAUUCCCAUGCCUAUACUCUCAUACCACUACACCCCUCGCUCGUGUGGCUACUGUUUUUAACUAUGGUUUAGAUUCAAUCCUGCGGAACCGCCUAACCUCUAAUGCCACUGCCGAGUUGUGCUCUGUGUUGUCUCUCCUGCAGGAUUUCCAGCGGUCGCCUGGACCAGACGAACGCUACCUCUCCGGUGGCUUGUGGUUCUCUACCAAGGCCGCUUACUCACUGUCCAUGGGUGACUCCACCGAGCAUGAUAUGCACUCCAUCCCCAUCUGGUCCUCAUGCAUCCCAACAAGAGUGAAGAUUUUUGCAUGGUUAUUGUUCAGGGAUCGAUUAAACACCAAGUGCAACCUACUCCGCAAGCACAUGGUCUCUGAUGCGCUAUGUCCCCGCUGUGGUUUUGAUGGUGAAAACCGAUUACACUUGUUCUUGGCCUGCCCGCUCGCUCAGAGGAUCUGGCAUAGGGUAGGCCUAUCACCCUCAGCAAACAUCAACGAACUCUGGGACUGCCGCCUACCUUUCCAACUGAAUGCGCCGGCCUGGCACUCAAUCCUCCUCAUCAUUCUAUGGAGGAUUUGGGACUCAAGAAAUGCCAUGACCUUCAAGCAGCAAGACCAUCAUAGCAUCCUCACUCUUAGAAGAAUCAUUGAUGAUCUAGCGCUCUGGACUCACAGGAUGAAGAAACCAGCGCAAAAGCAGGCCGCCUCCUUAUGGCGUUCCUACCUCUUAUCACGACUACACGUGCUUAUGUAAUUUCACCUUCUAAUCGGUCGAACGAUGGGUUACAAACUUGAGAAAUAUAUUCAGGUGGGGAGCUCCCCCCCGAUGAUUUUUCAAAAAAAAAAAGAAUCCCCAUUAUCAAAGAAGAAAACAUCACAGCUAAUUAUGAUCGUAAUUGACAUUUCAUUUGCACAUGUAGCAUUAUCUCCUGGAUUGCUGCUUAAUUUGCUUUUUACGUUCUUUGCUAUAAGUAGAGAUUAAGGUAAAACUUGUGGCAGAUGACCAGGACGCAUGUAUGCAUUGAGCAAGCAUUUUUUAAAACCUAAAAUCAGAUAUUUUUGUAUGCAAUUAUAUAUUGGAUACCUGAAUUAUGGCCUUAUGGGUCUGAUUGUGUUGGUGGGAUCAAUACACAUGCCGAUGAAUUACGCGGCAAGCACAGCAUGCAAAUAAAAAAGAGGAGAUGGGCGUGAAUAUAUAAGGGGACAUCAAGUUAAUAUUAGAGUGAAGAUGAAUUAUGUUAUGAUCCUGUUUGGCAUUCACCUGAACCUUGUUGUCUCUUUUCCUGUUGUGGGGCCCUAAUCUUGCUUGCCAACUGAGCAAAGUAUCACAGCAGUUCUCUCUGACUAAUUAGGUUGUUUUCCAGGAAAAGCUUCAAUUGGAGAAGCUGGCAUCUUUCAUUCAGAAGUUUUUAGAUGAAGAUCUUCAAGUUUGAUCAGUGUCAUUGGUUGCAGGAUAUCUUGUUUAACCACUCCUUAGGAUCUGGCAACUAUCAGCCUAAAUUGUUGUACACAGCAUGCCACCCGAUUUUUUUAGUUGAUCCGGUUCAGCAUUGUUCACCCAGGUCCGCUUGUACCUUCUUUUUUUAGGGUUGAAAAGCACUUUAUUCAAUCAGUUGUUGGACGGGAUACAAAUAAUGCCGGACCUACUAGAUAGCCAUAUGUGCCUUCCAAGAUCUAAAGUAGUAGCUGCUUUAGACAAAUUAUGAGCUUCAACAUUACAAUAUCGCUUCUCAUGGAUGAUAUGCACCGAGGUAAAAUCCUCCCAUCUUCUUCUGAAUUCCCUUGAUGAUUACUCCUGAUUUUCCCAGAUGGACACCUUAGAUAUGCUUAACUGGAGCUGCACAAGCAGUAGAUAUAUCAAGACGCUGGCAACGAAUAUCUGCAGCCAAAGAUAGAGCUUCACUGCACGUCGUCGAUUCCAGGAUUUCCGGAUCAAUCAUAUCAGCUAUACAUACCGCCGAAGCUCCAAGAUAUGUAUCAGUUUCAUCUCCACAGAUCGCCCCUAUUGGACCCCUGUCUCCAUGUCUUCCCACAGCUGCAUGGACAUGUAUUUUGACUGAUCCCCGGCUUGGGGCACACCAUUUUCUUUCGGCUGGAGAAGGUUUCGAUUAAGUCGUACACCAUAUAGCAUUGUAUAAAUGAGAAAGUGGAAUGGCAUGGUGACAUAGUUUCAAGACGUUUCAUCCUUGGUGUUUCAGGCCAUGCCCCGUUCCUUUUCUUUUGCCUGUUAAUAAUUUUUCGCUGGUAAGCUGUUACAACACCUUGUAUCUUUGCCGUUCUCUAUCUUUUUUCAUUUCUUUGUAAGUGGCUCUUGUUGUAAUCAUGGCCUGUUGAUGGCUUUUCAAUUUCACUUCUGGACAAGAUUUAUUCCCUACACGCAGACUGGCUCCACACUUAGGCGUUGAGCUAAACUGACCCCAACAAGGUUGGAUCGUCCUGGCGCAAUGCAUCUGCAUGGGUGAGAUGGGCGGCGCAUUGCUCCUCAAUGACAACCAAGGCUGUGUGCACAUUAUUGAUCCCCAAACAGGGGCAAUGGAGAUGGUUCAAAGCUGGUUUGGUGGUGUUGUUGUCGUUGCUAUCCCGUUUGAGAUCUACUGGCCGGCCUUCUUCAUGUAUCACUUGCAGGCGGUAGCAUUGAGAGGACUAAAUUUGGAGGAGCUAUAUUGGACUCUUUUUGGGAGGAAUUGCUUGGGCAAUUACUUUUCGGUUAGUUGUACUUCAUGUGGCGCACAAGAGCUACAAGAGUGUUAAGUUUUGUGUGUGGCAGAUGUUCUUUCUUUUGAACGUGAAGUGUGGCAAACUUGAUGGACUCGCAAAUUAAUUAAUAUCAUGGACACCGGCUACGGCUUCUUUGUCGGAUCAAGAUGAUGAAAUUGCACAAGAGCUACACUGGUAGAAAAAGAGGCUUCCGUCCAGCCCCAUUAGUCACGAAACUGUAGGAACCGCGACUAAUGAAGUCUUUAGUCGCGGUUCGGCGGACGAACCGCGACCAAAGGCCUGGGCCCAGGGCGCUCGGUGGCCAGCUGGUGCACGUGAAGGGAUUUAGUCGCGGUUGGCCAGGCCAACCACGACUAAAGGUGCCCAAAGGCCUUUAGUCGCGGUUGGCCAGGCCAACCGCGACUAAAGCUCCUCCCCUAUAUAUACCAGUUCAGCACGCUCACUUAGCCAUUUGGUGCCACUUCUCUUCACAAGCUUCACAAGGGGGUGUAGGUUUGCUUUUGGUUCCUCUUAUGCACACAAGGUGUUUGAUGAAAUGCCCCAAGAGGGUGAAACAAACAUGAUAUGAAGUGUUGGAGCCACACUUGAGGUUCCUCAGUUAUUUUUUCCUCCUCGAUCGCGGUUAGCAACUUGAACCUUUCAUGCAUGUGUGUCAUUGAUAAAAUAUGCAUGUGUGUUGUUCAUUGUUUAAUUUCUAUUGUUUAUAGCUAGUUAGUUUAACAAAUGCAUGAUGGUUAAUUAUAUAUUUUAUAUUAUAAUAAUGCAGAUGAAUCGGCAAUGGAUGUACGGUAACCGACUCUCCCGCGAGUUCACUACGGGUUUGAAAGAUUUCCUCGUAGUGGCUAAUGCGAACAAGCAGAAGGGUUUUGUUAUCUGUCCAUGUGUUGACUGUAAGAAUCAGAAGGGUUACUCUUCCUCAAGAGAAGUUCACCUGCACCUGCUUCGGCACGGUUUCAUGCCAAGCUAUAAUUGUUGGACCAAGCAUGAAGAAAGAGGGGUUAUAAUGGAAGAAGAUGAAGAAGGGGAUGAUUUCAUCGAUGAAAGCUAUCUUGCUCAUUUCGGUGAUACUUUCAUGGAGGAUGCUGAAGGUGAAGGGGAAGGUGAAGGGGAAGGUGAAGGUGAAGAAGAGGCACGUGAUGAGACCGUUGAUGAUCUUGGUCGGACCAUUGCUGAUGCACGGAGACGCUACGAAACUGAAAAGGAGAGGGAGAAUUUGGAUCGCAUGUUAGAGGAUCACAGAAAGUCGUUGUACCCCGGAUGCGAUGAUGGUCUGAAAAAGCUGGGCUGCACACUGGAUUUGCUGAAAUGGAAGGCACAGGCAGGUGUAGCUGACUCGGCAUUUGAAGUUGCCGCCGUCGUCGUCGCUGCUGGCGGGGGAUAUCGCCGGCCGUGAUGUAGUCCAUGACGCUCUGCAGAGUCCGGCCGUACCACCAUAGCCGACGGCCGGCCUCUGGUAUAUUAUUUUGAAUUGAAUUAGUUUUAUUUUUCUUAAUUUUUUGAUAUAUUAUUUGUAUUUUUAGAAUUUUGAAUUGAAUUAGUUUUAUUUUUCUGAAUUUUUUGAUAUAAUAUUUGUGUUUUUAACAUAUUGAAUUGAAUUAGUUCUAUUUUUCUGAAUUUUUUGAUAUAUUAUUUGUAUUUUUAACAUAUUGAAUUGAAUUAGUUUUAUUUUUCUUAUUUUUUUGAUAUAUUAUUUGNNNNNNNNNNNNNNNNNNNNNNNNNNNNNNNNNNNNNNNNNNNNNNNNNNNNNNNNNNNNNNNNNNNNNNNNNNNNNNNNNNNNNNNNNNNNNNNNNNNNNNNNNNNNNNNNNNNNNNNNNNNNNNNNNNNNNNNNNNNNNNNNNNNNNNNNNNNNNNNNNNNNNNNNNNNNNNNNNNNNNNNNNNNNNNNNNNNNNNNNNNNNNNNNNNNNNNNNNNNNNNNNNNNNNNNNNNNNNNNNNNNNNNNNNNNNNNNNNNNNNNNNNNNNNNNNNNNNNNNNNNNNNNNNNNNNNNNGCCCGUCGGCCUCCCUCGCCCACCGCGCCGCCUCUCGCCCGCCCUCAACGCCGCCGGCCGGCCUCGCUGCCGCGCGCGCACGCGCGCGCCUCUCUACAGAGAGCGAGAUCGUGGAGAGAGAGAGAAUUUUUUCUUUUUUUUCUUUUUUUUGUUCUUUUUAAUUUUAACUAGUUAAUUAGUUUAACAAAAACGGUAAAACAACUUAAAACUUGAUAAUUAACAAAAAAACCGUAAAAUUUGAUAAUUAACAAAAAAACCGUAAAAUGCACGCGGUGUUUUUUUAGGGAUCGAGAGGGGGCGGCGAGGGUUAUACAUGUGUGUUGUCCUCGCCUCCCUCUCCGUGACGCCGUCGUCUGCCGCCCCGUCUCGCGCUCUAUCGCGACACCCUCUCCCACCCCUUCCUCGCCCCCUCCUUUUGCCACCGCCCUUUCGCCACCGCCACCGCCACCGCCCCCCUUCUUCACUUAAUUAAUUUGUUUUUACUACAUGUUUUCAGGACUGACAUAAUGGCGGACGAUAGAGCUGACCCGAUUAUGGACAACUAUGAUCCGGACGGUGAAGCACAUAUGUUCGGCAUCAUAAACGGCGAUAUUCUAUAUGUGCCGACCGGACAAGAAGAAGAUGAUAUCUCUUCUUAUCUGAACCUUGACGGUGAAGAUGAAGGGCGCCGUCAGCAAGAUGAUGCCGAACAAACGUCGAUAAACGACGAUCUUCAAAUGGAAGUAGCAACCACCUCCGGCGCCGAGGUAUAUAUAUACAUUGAGCCUCUGGUGAUACAAACUAACUGAUUUGAAUAAAUAUGUGUGUACUAAUGCGCGCGACUCUCUUUCUUAUUUUAGCCCUCGGCCGGAUCGUCGAAACAAUCGAGUACGUCGUCAAAGUGUGGCGCAACCAAGACGAUGAAACAAGGAGAAACAUGCACCAUCGAGGUUGUCGACAGUGCAACCGGCAGGCCGCUGGAGCCCCGCAAGAACGCCACCAAGUUUGUCAACCAAUGCGGAGCCAUUGUUAGAGAUGCAUCGGAAAUGGAUGUGAUGAAGAAAACCGUGAGUGUACUAGUAGCCGAAAGAGAUGCAGCUCGGGCGCAGCAUGAAGAUCAUCCAGCGGAUCUCAGAAGCCAGCAGCGGAGAAGCAGUGUGGCUUCCACGGAGGCCCCACCGGCUAGUGCAGAUGCACCGACGAUCGAAAUUACUGCACCGGAGCCUCUGGUGGUCGAAAUUACUGCACCGGAGCCUCUGGUGGUCGAAAUUACUGCACCGGAGCCUCCUCGCUACCCCGUGGACAUAGUCCAAGGGUUUGAGGACCUGGAGAUUGACAUUGCUACACCUGAAGGGGAGAAAAGACUUGAAGAUGUCAAGCGCCAUUUCAUUCUAUGGCAAAAGAAGUUUAUCAAGUUUCCAGGCGAGGCGCCAAGGACAACAAGUCCACCCCCCUACGGUGGUGGUGGUGGCGGUGGUGGUGGUGGUGGUGGUGGUGGUGGUGGCGGUUCACCUACACCUCCGUCACGUCAGCCGACGCCCCCCAGUCCACAACGUCCGGCGGGUGAUCAGACGCCGCCCCCCAGUCCUCGUCCGGCGGGUGAUCAGACGCCGCCCCCCAAUCCACCUCCGGCAAAGAAGCAGAAGCAGUCCUGGAUUAUUAACCCGGACCCUUAUGUACCUAAGACCACAAAGGUACCGGAGCCAUCACUGAAGCCUCUCCCCACAAGGCCUUGGGAACGUAGUGCCGAGGAAACUGCCGCGGCCGCGGCUGCUGAUCAUGAGAAAUGGAAGGCGGACUGCAAGAAGAAAAGAGAGCCCGAUCCCAAGCCAGUAUUUUCUGAUGAGCAAAAGAAGUGGGCUAAGUCAUUUUUGAGCACACCGUCCCAAGCCGCGAAGAAUCUGCCUGACGACUAUGCACGUGAACUUCGUAGGCAGGCACUCAUGUUGAAGGAGAAGAAAGAGCGGGCGGAGAACCAGGAGAACAAAGCCUUGGAGGAGGCCGAGAAAACGGAAUUAGAAAGUAAAAAAAGCGGGAAACGAGUUGCCCAGCUCGGGGAACAAAGUAAACAAUCGAUUGCCCCGCUUAUAGUGAAAGCCGCCGGUCCGGAUGACCCCGAUAUCAUAGCAGCUGCGGCAGCACAUGGAUUGACUGUAACGAGUGCCAGAGAACAAGCGGCCAACUUAGGUAUUACUCUUCGUGAACUGUUAGGCCUUGAUGAGGCGCCAGUGAAGGAGGUAGUAAUUACAUAUGUGAAGAAUGGGCCUCUCGUCGAGCCUACGCAGGAAGAGGAUCUACCUCCACAAAUGAAAGGUCUGCUGAAAUGGUACAAGGGUUACAUAAAAAAUAAAAACGCCAAAGAAUAUAUUUAUGCGGAAGUUAGAUAUGAGCAUCACUUCAAACAUUACUAUGUACAAAUUCAUCUGAGUGAAUUGUUCCAGCUUUUCAAUCUGCGCGAGCUCGACAAAUCUAUCAUCAGUUGCUACGUUCUGUAAGUGAUUUAUUUCUACCCCAUCUCGUUCAUAUUGCCUGCACUAUAUAUAUGUCCUAACUAUAUUGUUGUGUCCGCUAUUAUACAUGCAGAAUGAAGAUUAAGGAAUGCAGAGUAAGGAACAUCCAUGAUGUUGGGUUCAUUGACCCACACAUCGUUAAUGGAUAUGUGUUGGAGCAUCACCCCGCCGACAUGGAGGUAGACCUGUGGCAGUUUCUUACAAAGCAGGAACUCAAAAGUGAUAUUCUAUUUCCUUACCAUUUUGGGUGAGUGUUUCUGUCUUGAGCACAUUCUCUUUUGUUUACUCCAUGCAUGGUAUGUGGCCGGCUAAUCGAUGAGUUAUGCAUGACGUACUGUGCAUGUAUCGUGUCCGCAGGUUCCACUGGAUUCUGCUAGUAAUUAAAGUUGACACCUCAGAAUGUCUCGUCCACGACUCUCUGAAUAAGGAUCCAAAGCUUUGGGGCGGCAUGAGAAGAAUGCUGCAGAAGUAAUUAUUUUCAUUCAUUUGCGCUCUAUAUCGAUCGGCCUAUUUCGUUCAUUUCCUAAUAUCAAGUAACUAAUAACUCUCUUGUUCAUUUAAUUUUCUUUGCCUCGUAGGGUUUGGAGACGGUUCGUAGAUACAAAGGUCGGUGAAUUCAAAAAAGAGCUAGAAUUCAAAAGGUCAAAGGCUAAGAAUGAUGAGGAUAUUCAGCCAGCGGGGACCAAUCUAUGUGCAUACUAUGUCUGUGAGAUGAUCCGGAGAUACACCUCUGAGCGGCGGGUUCCGAGUGAUACCAAUGCUCAGAGGAAUAACCUCCGGAUGAUGCUUAGUCCAGAAGCUCGCUUCCGACCACUUCAAGAGGAGCUGGAUGGUUCAGGAGGGAAGUCCUCCAUCCUAAAGGAGAACACCAUUACGAGGACGUAGAACUUUAUAUGCAUUAAAUUAUGUAUGGAAACUUGUUCAAAAUUGUAUAUGGUCAUCCGAUGAUAUUGAAUAUAUAUUUUAUAUUCCUCUUGAAUUCUUUUUGGUUCUAAUUUCAAAUUUGUUUGAAAUUGUACAUUCAUAUGCAUGUAUGUAGUACCGUAGAAUAUGUGAAACUCCUUCAAAAUUAAAAUAAAGCACAAAAGAAAUAAAACAAUACAAAUUAAACAGAAAACAGGUUUAGGGGGGGNNNNNNNNNNNNNNNNNNNNNNNNNNNNNNNNNNNNNNNNNNNNNNNNNNNNNNNNNNNNNNNNNNNNNNNNNNNNNNNNNNNNNNNNNNNNNNNNNNNNNNNNNNNNNNNNNNNNNNNNNNNNNNNNNNNNNNNNNNNNNNNNNNNNNNNNNNNNNNNNNNNNNNNNNNNNNNNNNNNNNNNNNNNNNNNNNNNNNNNNNAAACCUGCGGCGGCCUUUAGUCGCGGUUGGCUAGAAGAACCGCGACUAAAGGUCCUCCGCCCCGACGGCCGCCUGGCGCCCACGUGGACGGGCCUUUAGUCGCGGUUCUUAAGCAACCGCGACUAAAGGGGGGGGCCUUUAGUCGCGCCUGUUUGGUCGCGGUUGCGCAACCGCGACUAAUGGCAGUUGCGAACCGCGACCAAAGGCCCUUUUUCCACCAGUGCUACACAGUUUAAUUUGUGCUCUCUGGGUUCUUUCGGGCUGUCUGUUUUGACAUGUUCUUGUUUAGACAUGGUGUGCUAGCUGAACAAAUAGUAAUGGAUGUUGCCGUCUGUGUUAUGUGAAUCUCCAUUAUCUAAAGAGGAAAGUUU